UAGCCCACGCCGUAAACGAUGAUCACUCGCUGUAGGCGAUACACAGUCUGUGGCUAAGCGAAAGUUUUAAGUGAUCCACCUGGGGAGUACGAUCGCAAGAUUGAAACUCAAAGGAAUUGACGGGGGCCCGCACAAGCGGAGGAACAUGUGGUUUAAUUCGAUGAUACGCGAGGAACCUUACCUGGACUUAAAUGUAGAUUGCAUAGCUUAGAGAUAGGCUUUUCUUCGGACUAUUUACAAGGUGCUGCAUGGUUGUCGUCAGCUCGUGCCGUGAGGUGUCGGGUUAAGUCCCAUAACGAGCGCAGCCCCUAUCCUUAGUUGCCAGCGGGUCAUGCCGGGGACUCUGAGGAGACUGCCACCGUAAGGUGUGAGGAAGGUGGGGAUGACGUCAAAUCAGCACGGCCCUUAUGUCCAGGGCUACACACGUGUUACAAUGGUGAGUACAGAGGGUCGCAAACCCGCGAGGGGGAGCGUAAUCCCAGAAAGCUCAUCGUAGUCCGGAGUUG
Molecule: ribosomal RNA, 506 nt
Filed under: uncultured bacterium
Lineage: Bacteria
Description: bacterial SSU rRNA
Rfam family: Bacterial small subunit ribosomal RNA
Source: RNAcentral